CUUUAAGCCGAGUGCGGACGUCCACUUCAUAUCCUUUUGUAUAUAUAUAUAUAUAUAUAUAUAUACAUAUAUAUGUGUGUGUGUGUGUGUAGUGUUUGUUAAGUGAUCAAAUAUGGUCUUUUUGCUAGUUGUUUCAUGUUUGAGUCAUGUUUGUAGAUUUUUGUAGGGGUGUGACUUCGAAACCGAAAACCGAAAAAAAACCGCACCGAAAACCAAACUGUAACCGAAAAAACCGCACCGAACAAAAACAGCACCGAAAAAAAUCCGGGCCGAACCAGAUAUUUUCGGUUCGGUUUUCGGUUUAAGGCCGAUGAAAACCGAACUGAACCGUUUGAACCGAAGUCAACGGUCAACGACGUCGUUUUGAUUUAAAAAAAACCCUAGUCUUCACUGAAGACUCUUCAGCCGAAAACCACAAGGCUGCCAGUUCCUCACUUCCUUGUCUUUCUAUGUUUCUCAACCUCUCCAAGUGCUCCCGACUGACCGACUCCCCUCUUUGGCCUUCGUUUGUCGCCCUCCUCUCCGCCGGCCUCCGCCUGUUGCCCUCCUCUCUGGCAGUCCGGCGUCUCGGCCUCUCGAACAGGCUGCCAGUUGCCUCAUCUUUCUCCUCUCUGGUCUCCGCCUCUCGCCCCCCUCUCCGGCCUCGGUUUGUCGCCCUCCUCUCCGCAUGCCUCUGAUAAGACGUAUGUGCACACGCAUCAAUUAACCCUGUCAACAAAUCAAUCGUAGUAUAAAGCAAGCAGGGAUCGUUCUAAACUGGGGAUCCAACUACAGGGUAGAUCCAUCUAAUCUAAUAAAAAUGUCGAAAUAAGCAUAUAGAGUUUAAAGGUUUUGAUGAUUUUGGAAUAAAUAUUGAAAAUAAAUCCUAAAUUACUUCUAUACAUAUUUACAUGUGAUCAACCAACAAUCAUGCAAACUUAACCAAACAACCAUGUAAGAACAAAGAAGACGAUCUCUAAUCUCAUUUAAGUCUACACCGUGAGCAAUUAUACAACCUAAGUUUGAUAUGCACAUAAGUUCCUACGUGGUUCCUAUGACAUAGACCUACUUAGAAUUAGACUACGGGUUUCAUUCAACAUCGUGACACAACAAGCUCGGCUACAUGCUCUACUUAUUGGUCACACACAUAAACUAAUCAUGCAAUUACGUAUCACAUAAAGAAUUUGAUGUGUUUAAGCACAAGUCCAAAUCAAACAUAGGUAGAAAAUC
Molecule: long non-coding RNA, 1209 nt
Filed under: Fragaria vesca (wild strawberry)
Lineage: Eukaryota; Viridiplantae; Streptophyta; Magnoliopsida; Rosales; Rosaceae
Description: long non-coding RNA (FVES_LNC000473)
Source: RNAcentral